RNAcentral lists this unclassified non-coding RNA (378 nucleotides) under uncultured Alphaproteobacteria bacterium. RNAcentral's name for it is "contains 16S-23S intergenic spacer region". Lineage: Bacteria; Pseudomonadati; Pseudomonadota; Alphaproteobacteria. The record is from RNAcentral.
UCCGGUUUGUCACCGGCAGUCCCAUUAGAGUGCCCAACUUAAUGUGGCAACUAAUGGCAAGGGUUGCGCUCGUUGCGGGACUUAACCCAACAUCUCACGACACGAGCUGACGUCAGCCAUGCAGCACCUGUGUUCCCGCCAGCCGAACUGAAGGGUCUCAUCUCUGAAACCCAUACGGGACAUGUCAAGGGCUGGUAAGGUUCUGCGCGUUGCUUCGAAUUGAACCACAUGCUCCACCGCUUGUGCGGGCCCCCGUCAAUUUCUUUGAGUUUUAAUCUUGCGACCGUACUCCCCAGGCGGCGUGCUUAAAGCGUUAGCGGCGACACCGAAGGGCAAGCCCCCCGACGUCUGGCACGCAUCGUUUACGGCGUGGACUAC